This 467-nucleotide ribosomal RNA is filed under the name Vibrio harveyi. Its description in RNAcentral is "bacterial SSU rRNA". It matches the Rfam family "Bacterial small subunit ribosomal RNA", at positions 98 to 561 of the family's 1533-position model. RNAcentral also lists the same sequence under 1 other name. Lineage: Bacteria; Pseudomonadati; Pseudomonadota; Gammaproteobacteria; Vibrionales; Vibrionaceae. The record is from RNAcentral.
GCGGACGGGUGAGUAAUGCCUAGGAAAUUGCCCUGAUGUGGGGGAUAACCAUUGGAAACGAUGGCUAAUACCGCAUAACACCUUCGGGUCAAAGAGGGGGACCUUCGGGCCUCUCGCGUCAGGAUAUGCCUAGGUGGGAUUAGCUAGUUGGUGAGGUAAUGGCUCACCAAGGCGACGAUCCCUAGCUGGUCUGAGAGGAUGAUCAGCCACACUGGAACUGAGACACGGUCCAGACUCCUACGGGAGGCAGCAGUGGGGAAUAUUGCACAAUGGGCGCAAGCCUGAUGCAGCCAUGCCGCGUGUGUGAAGAAGGCCUUCGGGUUGUAAAGCACUUUCAGUCGUGAGGAAGGUAGUGUAGUUAAUAGCUGCAUUAUUUGACGUUAGCGACAGAAGAAGCACCGGCUAACUCCGUGCCAGCAGCCGCGGUAAUACGGAGGGUGCGAGCGUUAAUCGGAAUUACUGGGCGU